GACGAACGCUGGCGGCGUGCCUAAUACAUGCAAGUAGAACGCUGAAGCUUGGUGCUUGCACCGAGCGGAUGAGUUGCGAACGGGUGAGUAACGCGUAGGUAACCUGCCUGGUAGCGGGGGAUAACUAUUGGAAACGAUAGCUAAUACCGCAUAAAAUGAAUUAUCGCAUGAUAAUUCAUUGAAAGGUGCAAAUGCAUCACUACCAGAUGGACCUGCGUUGUAUUAGCUAGUUGGUGGGGUAACGGCUCACCAAGGCGACGAUACAUAGCCGACCUGAGAGGGUGAUCGGCCACACUGGGACUGAGACACGGCCCAGACUCCUACGGGAGGCAGCAGUAGGGAAUCUUCGGCAAUGGACGGAAGUCUGACCGAGCAACGCCGCGUGAGUGAAGAAGGUUUUCGGAUCGUAAAGCUCUGUUGUAAGAGAAGAACGAGCGUGAGAGGGAAAGUUCACAC
RNAcentral lists this ribosomal RNA (456 nucleotides) under Streptococcus sp. oral taxon 070. Its description in RNAcentral is "bacterial SSU rRNA". It matches the Rfam family "Bacterial small subunit ribosomal RNA", at positions 28 to 473 of the family's 1533-position model. The record is from RNAcentral. Lineage: Bacteria; Bacillati; Bacillota; Bacilli; Lactobacillales; Streptococcaceae.